This 301-nucleotide ribosomal RNA is filed under the name uncultured bacterium. Its description in RNAcentral is "partial 16S ribosomal RNA". It matches the Rfam family "Bacterial small subunit ribosomal RNA", at positions 509 to 807 of the family's 1533-position model. The record is from RNAcentral.
CAGCCGCCGCGGUAAUACAGAGGGUGCGAGCGUUAAUCGGAUUUACUGGGCGUAAAGCGUGCGUAGGCGGCUUUUUAAGUCGGAUGUGAAAUCCCUGAGCUUAACUUAGGAAUUGCAUUCGAUACUGGGAAGCUAGAGUAUGGGAGAGGAUGGUAUAAUUCCAGGUGUAGCGGUGAAAUGCGUAGAGAUCUGGAGGAAUACCGAUGGCGAAGGCAGCCAUCUGGCCUAAUACUGACGCUGAGGUACGAAAGCAUGGGGAGCAAACAGGAUUAGAUACCCCCGUAGUCCCUGUCUCUUAUAC